CAGCCGUAAACUAUGCGCAUUAGGUGUAUCGGUGACCACGAGUCACCGAGGUGCCGAAGGGAAACCGUGAAACGUGCCGCCUGGGAAGUACGGUCGCAAGGCUGAAACUUAAAGGAAUUGGCGGGGGGAGGCACAACAACGGGUGGAGCCUGCGGUUUAAUUGGACUCAACGCCGGACAACUCACCGGGGACGACAGCAAUAUGUAGGCCAGGCUGAAGACCUUGCCUGAAUCGCUGAGAGGAGGUGCAUGGCGUAGACGUCU
RNAcentral lists this ribosomal RNA (263 nucleotides) under uncultured archaeon. RNAcentral describes it as "partial 16S ribosomal RNA". It matches the Rfam family "Archaeal small subunit ribosomal RNA", at positions 748 to 1009 of the family's 1478-position model. The record is from RNAcentral.